RNAcentral lists this ribosomal RNA (292 nucleotides) under uncultured bacterium. Its description in RNAcentral is "partial 16S ribosomal RNA". It matches the Rfam family "Bacterial small subunit ribosomal RNA", at positions 505 to 796 of the family's 1533-position model. The record is from RNAcentral.
GUGUCAGCCGCCGCGGUAAGACGUAGGAUGCAAGCGUUGUCCGGAAUUAUUGGGCGUAAAGAGUUCGUAGGCGGCAUAUCAAGUCUGGUGUUAAAGCCCGAGGCUCAACCUCGGAUCGGCACUGGAUACUGAUAAGCUAGAGUGCAGUAGAGGCAAGGGGAAUUCCCAGUGUAGCGGUGAAAUGCGUAGAUAUUGGGAGGAACACCAGUGGCGUAAGCGCCUUGCUGGGCUGUUACUGACGCUGAGGAACGAAAGCCAGGGGAGCAAAUGGGAUUAGAAACCCCCGUAGUCC